UGAGGGCUUCUUCGAGGGAACGCACGUACUGUUUUAUGCUUUGCUGUGUCAAAACACCUGACAAGGACAGCCUAAGGAAGGGAGGUUUGCUUAGCUCAUAGUUUGAGCAUCCAUGGAAGAGAAGCCAGGCAGUGGUAAUAGGAGGCAGCUGGCAAUAUCAUAUUUACAGGAAGCAGACAAAAGUGAAUGUUUGUGCUUAGUUCCUGUUCCAUUUAAUAUUCAGUCCCAGACCCCAGUCCAGGGGAAUGGGGGCGGGGAGUCAAACAUUUAGAGAUCUUACCAUCUCAGCUAACCCAAACGAGAUACUUCCUCAUAGACAUGCCCAGAGGUUUGCCGCCUGAGUCAUUCUAGAUCCUACUGAAGUGACAAUAUUAGUCAUCACAAGGUACUUCUCCUUCCUACCGAAAGGAAAAGUCCCCUACUUGAAAAGAUAUAUAGCUCAGGACCACUGUCACUGCUCUGGGGCCAGGCAACCCCAUGACAGAGUCAAAACAAGGAUGGCAUAGCCAGAGAAAAUCAAACAAAACAAAACUGGAGGCCUUGGAGAUUCUGGAUCAGACACAGCCUGAAACUCACUCAGUGUAGUUCGAAAUUCCACCAACUUCUCCUUUAAGAUGAAUGGAGUUCAAGUUUCCAUGCCUGAGAGCCAAAGGUAUCAGCAUGAAAAACUUCAGUGCUUAGAAAACAUUUUAAGUCAGACCAAUUGCAAAAAUGUCCCAGAGAAAUCUGGCCCCAAAGUGGUUUUUUCUGUUGUUGCUGCUGUUGUUUUUGUUUGUUUUCCAGUAGGGCCACCUCCCAAGUUCUGGGAUGUACAGGCAUGCACCAGCAUGGCCAGGUUCAAACCUAAACUCUAAACCACAAACGAUUGCUUUCAUAUCUUUCAAAAAAGGGAAGCUUCUUGUUUCCUCCGGCUUUUGCUAGUUGAUGUUUGGCCUCUUUCCCCUGGGACUUCUCCUGCUUUCUAUGGAUACUCCCUUAAGCACCCUUCUCCACAGAUCCACGGAGCUGCCAAAUGGUACUCUAAUGGUUUGGGCUCAUGAGAAUAAACUGUUCUAUUGGUCUUCAGAUAUGAACUAUUAGGAGAAUUCAAAACCCAGCAUCCAGUCAGGUGGCCUCAGUGUUUGCCUGCUGUACUUAGCAGCAGUCUUUCCUGGAACCCUGCUGACAUCACAGAAAAUACUGUCUAGUCACUGACUUUGCCCAGCAUGGCAGUCAAAGCAAACAGUGUGGCAAUGUCCUUGUAAUGACACCGUUUACAGCAUGCUUGCCAAGAGAGUGAGGAAGUGAUCACCCAGGGACCACAGCAUUAUCAAAGCGCCUGCUCAAAGCACCGGCUCGGUGCCAUCGGUGCCAAUUCAGAACCACUCCCUCUCCUCUCAAAGUCCACAUGGAAAAGGCCCAAACAGAUCCACCACCCUCCACCAUCCCCAAGUUGCUCUCUGCUCCCGUUACUCAGCCAAAUCCAUAGAACAUGUAUGUCUUCAGGUGGAACUGCAGAUGCGAUCUAAUAAGAGAGAAAGGGAGGGAUGAUGGGAAAGAAGAAGAAUGGAGCAGAAAUAGAGUUGGGAAGAGUCAUCAAAAUAUCCACCAAUUAAAACCACAAAAAAAAAAGUGUCUUCUCACGAAGUAAGAUGAGCAUAGGGAAGAAAUCACUUCUUGGACACUGAAGUGCAGCAUCUCGGGUUCAAGCUUGUUAUUCAAGCUCUUUUUUUUUUUUUUUAUCACCCUGACCUUUUGUCUUUCUUCCAAACCGCCUCCACUCUGUGGGCCCCUAAUGUGGCAGCCCCUUAUGUGGCCUCCGCAGCUAGUGGAAUUUGAAAGGUAUACCCCAAUAGCUGGGCUAGUGGAAUUUGAAAGGUAUACCCCAACAGCUGGGCUUUUGAUGUGGGCUGCUCGCUCGGCUUUCUUACCUGCUUUUCAAGCCAGUCUCAGCUAUGUUUUUUUUUUUUUUUUUCUUCAUCAACCGAUUUUCUGUUUGUUCUUUAGGUCUCCCAGGAGAAGGGCAAAACAUGAUAAGUCUCUGCUGCCUUCUUCCAUCACGUGACAGAAAAAUCUCAGACGGAGAGGAGGCGGGAGGAUAAGAUAGAGGCGUCAGUGGAGGAAGACCGGAGAUAAUGCUCCAAGUGCCACGCCACAGAUCGUGCCCACAGAGGAAGAAAAAAACCCUCUGGACUUCAGCUAUGGCUCUGAGGGUAAAGUCCAGAGGUCUUUUCAGGAAUUUAAUCCGCAGAUUAAUGACAUUCUUUGCAAAGUGGCUUUUGCAUGAAGUCCCACCCCUAGCUGAGGAGCUACUGGCUGCUGGGGAAGAUGUGGCCCUGCAGUGCAAUCCAGUAGAUAGUCCGCGAACAUGCGGGCAGAGUGCACGGAUUGUUGCUGCUGUUUCUAAUAAAGUCUAUGAAGUUGGGAGGAGGAAACGAUGAGGCAGAUGGAGGAGGUGGAGAGAAGUGGUAGGCCUGAUCGGAAUUCAUUUUAUGCAUAUAUAAAAUUCUCAAACGUUAAGAACUUUAUUAUUUGGACUAUGGGCAGGUCAGAACAUCUGAACAAUAGUUUUCAUGACAACCAUCAGAACGGCCCCACUUGUAUCUGCCAGGAGACCUUCUCUACUGUCCUUGUCUCACAUCUGUCCGGAGCCCCCCUCCUCUGAGGUGUCACUGGUUAUAUUUGAUGCUCAGGUAUCAGGGAACCAAGGAACAAAACUUAGGCCAACCAUUUGUCUACCACAGCUCGCUCCUUUUAGCCAACGUGGGAAGAUUUCCACAAAUACAAGAUUAAACAUCCUCAGGCAGAAUCUCAAGGGCCUUCGAUUGACUCCUGGGACCAUGUGGAUGCAAAACCAGAUCCUCAUUUGGAAGCGAUGCUGUGCUGUGAAGCCCACCAUGGACCAGAAGGCUGGCAGACAGGGAGACAACCUCGUCCUUAGCACUGCAGUCUGAUCUGAAAAAGCACGGAAGGUCAUUGGGGUAAUAGAUGAAAAGACGUUGUCAAUCUGAAGUAGGCGAUUCUAAUCAUAAUCUUUUCUUUAAAUCACAAUGGUCCCAAGAGAACCAGGAAAGCCGUGAGGGCCUGUGUUUCAUGCUCUCCAGCCAUCUUUGAACUUCUGUCAGUGAACGUACUUUCAUCUAGAGAAUCCAUAGAAGACGGUUGCAGAUGGAAAAAUCUAGCCCUGGGUCAUUUCAAUCGCUCACUUUGUAGAUGAUGCAAAAACCCAAUUAUACAGAUCCUUGACCUUUUUUCCUUUAGCGUUGCUUAAAGUAUUGAAAUCUCCAUCAUGAGUUAGAUUGGAGGUGUAAAAAAAGAAAGAAAAGAAAAGUCAAGCUGCCAAUCUCAAUUUCCAUUUCUCCAUUAUCCUUGCUCGCUCACCUAAUGGAACCUCCAGAGACUUCCAGAUUUUCAAAGAAAAUUGAAGAGUCAGAAGAGCACAGGAAGGAACUGGAAAUUCUGAGGGAUAGUACCAAACCAGGAAGGAGGCUGCUGGGGUCUUCACCCUCAGAAAGUGCCCACUGUCUCCUCCCAGCAAGCCUUGAUUUAGGCUGGAAUUGCAAGGAAGUAAAGAGUUUUUGUAGUUCCCAAUGAGAACGAGGAGAUCUCAAUGCUGUAACUUCAACUCUGCCCUUGACCUUCUGGAAGAGCUGUGGGAUGUUUUACUUAGCAGUUUCCUAAGUGCUAGAUAAGUUCCUGCAAGGAACUCUGACCUUUGGGAGUUAAAGCUACACCCACAGUCAACAUGAAGCAAAGCUUACAGAACCAAAGGAACGAGAGUAGAAAAG
This 3767-nucleotide small RNA is filed under the name Rattus norvegicus (Norway rat). RNAcentral describes it as "uncharacterized LOC102553985". Lineage: Eukaryota; Metazoa; Chordata; Mammalia; Rodentia; Muridae. The record is from RNAcentral.